This 461-nucleotide ribosomal RNA is filed under the name Mycobacterium conspicuum. RNAcentral describes it as "bacterial SSU rRNA". It matches the Rfam family "Bacterial small subunit ribosomal RNA", at positions 89 to 552 of the family's 1533-position model. The record is from RNAcentral. Lineage: Bacteria; Bacillati; Actinomycetota; Actinomycetes; Mycobacteriales; Mycobacteriaceae.
ACUCGAGUGGCGAACGGGUGAGUAACACGUGGGUGAUCUGCCCUGCACUUCGGGAUAAGCCUGGGAAACUGGGUCUAAUACCGGAUAGGACCACUUGGCGCAUGCCUUGUGGUGGAAAGCUUUUGCGGUGUGGGAUGGGCCCGCGGCCUAUCAGCUUGUUGGUGGGGUCACGGCCUACCAAGGCUCCGACGGGUAGCCGGCCUGAGAGGGUGUCCGGCCACACUGGGACUGAGAUACGGCCCAGACUCCUACGGGAGGCAGCAGUGGGGAAUAUUGCACAAUGGGCGCAAGCCUGAUGCAGCGACGCCGCGUGGGGGAUGACGGCCUUCGGGUUGUAAACCUCUUUCACCAUCGACGAAGGUCCGGGUUUUCUCGGAUUGACGGUAGGUGGAGAAGAAGCACCGGCCAACUACGUGCCAGCAGCCGCGGUAAUACGUAGGGUGCGAGCGUUGUCCGGAAUU